RNAcentral lists this long non-coding RNA (937 nucleotides) under Pan troglodytes (chimpanzee). RNAcentral's name for it is "long non-coding RNA NONPTRT001412". Lineage: Eukaryota; Metazoa; Chordata; Mammalia; Primates; Hominidae. The record is from RNAcentral.
UGUCUCAGCCUACAAAGUUGCUGGAACUCUAGCUAUGAGCCUAGCAGUGAGGCCCAACUCAGUUUACAAGGCUUGCAAACCAGGUGUCAACUGGCUGCCUGUGAGACAAUGCUUUUAGGUGACCAGAAGGCAAGGAUUUCCCAGUCCCUGGAAACCAGAUGCCCAUCCUCCAUGCAAACAAGUGAGGUGGAGUGUCCGUGCCAGUGCCUACACCUGCCCGGAGGCAGCUGGUCAGGGUCUCACUCCAUUGCCCAGGCUGGAUGGUAGUGGCAUGAUCACUGCUCACUGCGGCUCGACCUGGGUUCAAGUGAUCCUCCUACCUCAGCCUCCUGAGUAGCUGAGACUACAGGCAUGAGCCGUCACGCCCAGCUAAUUUUUUUUUUAAAUAGAGACGGGGUCUCGCUAUGUUGCCCAGGCUGAUCUCAAACCCUUGGGCUCAACCGAUCUGCCUGCCUUGGCAUCCCAAAGUGCCGGAAUUACAGGUGUGAGCCACCACGCCCAGCCCAUAGCUCAUUUUUGAUGGAGAGGUCCCUCCCUGACCAGGCAGUUCCCCUCCCUAUGCCAUCACAUUCUUCUCCCUCAAACCUGCCCCUGCCUUAUUUUGUCUCAUCACUUAUGACCCCUUGAUAUGCCUGUUGAUUUGGAUAACGUCUUAUACCCCCCACUGGAACAUAAGCUCUAUGAGAGUAGGGCUUGGCCAUCUUGUUCACGGCUGUAUCCUCAGUGCCUAGCACAGCACCAGGUGCACAGCGGGUUCUUGAGAAAACCUGUUGUAAUCAAGGCCAUCUCUGCCGGCAGGUCUGAGCUUCUGGAAGGUGGGGGUGGAAUGUCAUGCAUCUUGGUGUCCUGGCAUCUAGCACAGGGCCAGGCAUGGAGGAGGCUGUGGCUAAUUCAUGGUGCUGAUGAUUUGCUCUGGAGAUAGAGGGGCUCACUGGGG